AUCAAAUCGAGAAAAGACAGCCAAAAAAGUCAACUAAAGCCCUAGAGCCGAUCUGUUGUAUACCUUCUAGCCAUGAUUCUCUGAUUUUUUGAUGUAUUUUUUAGAUGAUUAUCUAUUGUACUUAGUUUUAGGUGUUUUGUUUCCAAUUUUCUUAGUUUUAGAUGGGUUAUAAUAGCUAGAUUUACUUUCUGCACUUUAUUUUUUACCUCAUUUUGAAUGAAUGCUAAAUACAUGUUGUAUGAU
RNAcentral lists this long non-coding RNA (243 nucleotides) under Ricinus communis (castor bean). RNAcentral describes it as "long non-coding RNA (RCOM_LNC002139)". The record is from RNAcentral. Lineage: Eukaryota; Viridiplantae; Streptophyta; Magnoliopsida; Malpighiales; Euphorbiaceae.